Molecule: ribosomal RNA, 468 nt
Filed under: uncultured bacterium
Lineage: Bacteria
Description: partial 16S ribosomal RNA
Rfam family: Bacterial small subunit ribosomal RNA
Source: RNAcentral
GACGAACGCUGGCGGCGUGCUUAACACAUGCAAGUCGAACGGAAAGGCCCUGCUUUUGUGGGGUGCUCGAGUGGCGAACGGGUGAGUAACACGUGAGUAACCUGCCCUUGACUUUGGGAUAACUUCAGGAAACUGGGGCUAAUACCGGAUAGGAGCUCCUGCUGCAUGGUGGGGGUUGGAAAGUUUCGGCGGUUGGGGAUGGACUCGCGGCUUAUCAGCUUGUUGGUGGGGUAGUGGCUUACCAAGGCUUUGACGGGUAGCCGGCCUGAGAGGGGGACCGGCCACAAUGGGACUGAGAUACGGCCCAGACUCCUACGGGAGGCAGCAGUGGGGAAUAUUGCACAAUGGGCGGAAGCCUGAUGCAGCAACGCCGCGUGCGGGAUGACGGCCUUCGGGUUGUAAACCGCUUUCGCCUGUGACGAAGCGUGAGUGACGGUAAUGGGUAAAGAAGCACCGGCUAACUACGUG